Molecule: ribosomal RNA, 373 nt
Filed under: uncultured organism
Description: bacterial SSU rRNA
Rfam family: Bacterial small subunit ribosomal RNA
Source: RNAcentral
CGGGGGGAGCAAGCGUUGUUCGGAUUUACUGGGCGUAAAGGGCGCGUAGGCGGCGCAACAAGUCACUUGUGAAAUCUCCGGGCUUAACCCGGAGCGGUCAAGUGAUACUGUCGUGCUAGAGUGCGGAAGGGGCUACUGGAAUUCUCGGUGUAGCGGUGAAAUGCGUAGAUAUCGAGAGGAACACCUGCGGCGAAGGCGGGUAGCUGGGCCGACACUGACGCUGAUGCGCGAAAGCCAGGGGAGCGAACGGGAUUAGAUACCCCGGUAGUCCUGGCCUUAAACGAUGGAUACUUGGUGUCCGGGGUUACAUAGUCCCCGGGUGCCGGCGCUAACGCAUUAAGUAUCCCGCCUGGGGAGUACGGUCGCAAGACUG